RNAcentral lists this ribosomal RNA (695 nucleotides) under uncultured bacterium. RNAcentral describes it as "bacterial SSU rRNA". It matches the Rfam family "Bacterial small subunit ribosomal RNA", at positions 809 to 1501 of the family's 1533-position model. The record is from RNAcentral.
GUGGGUACUAGGUGUGGGGGACAUUCCACGUUCUCUGUGCCGUAGCUAACGCAUUAAGUACCCCGCCUGGGGAGUACGGCCGCAAGGCUAAAACUCAAAGGAAUUGACGGGGCCCCGCACAAGCGGCGGAGCAUGCGGAUUAAUUCGAUGCAACGCGAAGAACCUUACCUGGGUUUGACAUAUAUCGGAAACGUUCAGAGAUGGGCGCCCCGUAAGGUCGGUAUACAGGUGGUGCAUGGCUGUCGUCAGCUCGUGUCGUGAGAUGUUGGGUUAAGUCCCGCAACGAGCGCAACCCUCGUCCAAUGUUGCCAGCGGGUUAUGCCGGGGACUCAUUGGAGACCGCCGGGGUCAACUCGGAGGAAGGUGGGGAUGACGUCAAGUCAUCAUGCCCCUUAUGUCCAGGGCUUCACGCAUGCUACAAUGGCCGGUACAAAGAGUUGCGAGCCUGUGAGGGUGAGCGAAUCUCAAAAAGCCGGUCUCAGUUCGGAUUGGGGUCUGCAACUCGACCCCAUGAAGUCGGAGUCGCUAGUAAUCGCAGAUCAGCAACGCUGCGGUGAAUACGUUCCCGGGGCUUGUACACACCGCCCGUCAAGUCAUGAAAGUCGGUAACACCCGAAGCCGGUGGCCNNNNCCGUUUGGGGGGGAGCUGUCGAAGGUGGGACUGGUAAUUAGGACUAAGUCGUAACAAGGUAGCC